RNAcentral lists this transfer RNA (96 nucleotides) under Caudoviricetes sp. RNAcentral's name for it is "tRNA-OTHER". The record is from RNAcentral. Lineage: Duplodnaviria; Heunggongvirae; Uroviricota; Caudoviricetes.
GGGGAUAGUUCAAUGGUAGAACACAGAUGUUUCCUCUUUCAUUGCAUAAUAGCAUCUGAGACAUGCGGUUCAAAUCCGCAGAUCCCGAUUAACCCA